GCUGGAACUAAAUGUGUCCAAGCAGCAGCUCUUGUUGUGCAGGGAAUAACUCCUGUCAGCAGCAAGGUCCUGACUGAAGUGGCAGCUGCAGUUGUUCCUGUGGUGUGGGCCAGUGGAAUUGCAGGAGAGUGGAAGAGGGCAGAACCUGUAGGUAUUACCCCUACUGUGGGAUCUCUCCUGGUAAGGCAAACCCAGUAUCCUUUAAAAUCAGAAUGCGAGACUGGAUUGGUUGCAGUAACAGCUGAAUUUGCUCAUCCUGGUUUGCUUGUAGGACGUGAAUGCAAGAACCUGCCAAGAAACCAAUGACCAAGAUGAUUGAUGAGUGCAGGAUCUGAGAGAAGCACCUUGAAUGACAACCUCGAGCAGUUUCCACUAUUGGAUUGCAAAGAUGGCCUUUGCUGCAUCUGCUUGAGCAAGGAAAGCCAAGAAACCUUUGCUUUUGAAGGAGAAAACCUGGAAAGCAGGAAGGAAGAAAAGAAACCCCCUGACUCCUCCCUCAGCCCCAGACAGCCCAUGAACUGCCUUCCUGGGAAUGGUAGGACGGGGUGGACUCUGGAUUGCUCCCUCUGGAUGUGUGUGGGAUGUAGCCUGGAAAGUGCACAGAGCUGAGCCAAGGGAUUGAAAGGGACCAAGCAAGGGAGGUGAAGAAAGAAGGAAGAAGGAAGUGAGGCAGCAGGCAAGCAGCAGCAAGUUGCUGUGUAAGCAGAGGGAUAAUAACUCCUGUCAGCAGCAAGGUCCUGACUGAAGUGGCAGCUGCAGUUGUUCCUGUGGUGUGGGCCAGUGGAAUUCCAAGAAAAUGGACAAGGACAGAAGCUGUAAGAAUUACCCCUAAGCCAGAGUCUCUCCUGGUAAGGCAAACCCAGUAUCCUUUAAAAUUAGGAAGCCAAGCUGGAUUGGUUUUAUUAACAGCUAAAUUUGCUGAUCAUGGUUUGAUAGUAGAAUGUGAAUGGAAGGACCUGUAAAGAAAGGAAAUGGGAAAGAUGAUGGAUUGCUGGGAGCAGGGGCUGGCAGACAGUGGGAUGGAUGUUUGGUUGUGUUUGGGAAUGAGCAGCUUGACCUGCCCAGGGUUGUCUGUGCUGGGGGUGGGUUUGGGUCCUGUGUGGCCACAGGUCUGUGCAGCAGCUGGAGCCUGGGCAGGUCUGGGGGCUGUGGUGUGCCAGGCUGCUGAGUUUGUUUUGCCUGUUUCC
Molecule: long non-coding RNA, 1187 nt
Organism: Pseudopipra pipra
Lineage: Eukaryota; Metazoa; Chordata; Aves; Passeriformes; Pipridae
Exons: 3
Source: RefSeq, a predicted model, not a curated record